AGAAGACAACAAAAGUCCAUGAAGAACAGGGCACUUCUCAGCAACCCUCAAGGAAGCAAUUGAACUAAAGCUUGAAAACCAUGGGGUCACUGAGAGAAGGAGCCUGAAGAGAGAAAAGGAUGAAGGACCCAAAAAAGACUAACAUUUAACAGAUGGGAUGUGAAACAGAACCAGAGGAUGCGGCUAUAAAACGCCAUCUUGGAAGCGAGACUGGGCUCUCAGCAGACACCAAACCUUCAUCUGGGACUUCCCAGCCUCCAGAACUAGGACAAAGAUCCUGCAAAAUCCUAUUGGUAAGAGAAAGCAUGUUUUAACAUGGCCAGACCUGGAUACUGCUCCAACAAAUUUUUAUUGAGUGUCAACUCUCUACUAGGCACUGUGUUGGAACUAGGGAUAUUAUGUUCCAGAAACCUAUGGAGAAAGCACAUGGAGAUAAUUAGUUCUACUUCCAGAGAGGGUAAACAUAUCACAAAUGUACAGAUAAAGAUGAAACAUCCAAUUGCAGAUAUGAAUGACCUAAUUCAAUGGAUGAGUCUGGAAGAGGACCAAGUUCAUGGGAAAGAUCAAAAAUUCAGUUUUGAAGAUGUUGAUGAGAAGAUGAGACAAAACCAUGUAUAGAUGCGGAUGAGCUAAUUAAAUAUAUGAGUCUGGAGCUGAAAGGAAAUGCCUUGACAAGAGAAGUAAAUUUGAGGACCAUCAGUAUACAGAUGUACUUGAAUCCAUCUAUGUAAAUGCAAUCACCCUGGGAGGAAAUUUAGAGUGAGAACAGGACUGCGUGGAAAGACAUUAAAGAAGUUAAAGAAAGAAGAACUAACAAAGGCAGGAGAGAAGAAGAGGACGGAGAGGUAGGAGAGAAACCAGUAAUGUGCGAUGGCAUAGAAAUUAAGAUGCGUGCUGUGAUGAGAAAUUCCGAAGCACACAUUAGAAGCAAUGACGGUUAUCAGCCUAGCAGAGGCCGAUGGGCUUCCUCGGAUCCUGCCAUGGCACCAAAGGAAUGCGAGAAAAUGAUUGGCUGGGGAGCUCUUCCACAUUGUCAGGAACGCUGGAAAAAGGCUGAAAGAGAAUGAUGAGAAAAAACCUGGAGAAUGGCAAAUGCUUCACUGAAGCAAUCUGCUACAUUCCUCCUUGCAGAGUGGGAUGCCUGGCCUGAGAUGAGAGAAGUAAUAGGACUGAGAGGAAGUGAAAGAAAUAGAACCCAAGGAGAGCAGGACAGAAAGAAAAGAUUUAUAGCAUGGAUUGUAGCCACUCUAAUAUUUGGGCUCCUCCUGAACUUAAUCCAACUUCCACGUUACUGAAAAUUUAUUAUUUCCCUUAUGGAUUUGUAGAAAACAGAUAGCAAAUGAAUAAGGAAAAUGGAAAGAGACCCAAAAAAGAGACAAAAAAUGGAGAGGACUGUGAGUCCAAUUCCUGUUUCUCCUGCUUUUGUCAGACCAAGUAAAACACUUAAAAUCGUCAGUGGAUAUUGGCUGAACCUUGCCAUUUUGAAAGUGGCUAUUCAAACCUUUUAGAGACGGAGCUGGUCAUUGCCUCAGUUAUUGGCCAAGGUAUGACAUGAACUAAUAGCACUUCAGGGACAAUGGCCUUUCAAUGACCAUCAGGCAUCAGUGCUUCUAAAUUGGCCAAUUUUGAGUGUCAGGAGGCCAGAAGACAUACCAUCACAUAAGAAAAACACUUUAAUCCAGUCAUUAUAAAGUAGGAGCAAAACAGAGUGGCUGUGGUGUUUAUAGCUAUAGCUGUAAUCUCAGUCUAGGUCCAUUCAGUCAAGAAGAUUGUUUCCAGUCUACUAGAAAACACUUCCAAUAAGCCUGAAUUACAACCCCAAUAUCAUUUUAGUUUUUUAGAUUAACAUGUGAAAUAAAGAGUUUUUCUUAGUCACAGUUACUUUUACUGCCAAAAACCCAAUGAAUAUCUUUCCCUCUGGAACCAAAUACACUGUUUAAUUUUAAUCUCUUAGCUGACUGACACAGGAACAAAACUGGUUUUGCAUUUUCCCUUUUCAUUUACUUUUCUGCAAUUGAUCACUGGCCUUAAAAAGUUGAGAAGAUAUAUUUCAGUUGCCAUUUUCUGUACUGGUUUUCAUUCAUUAGUUUUCCUUCUCCUCCUUCCUUUACUCUGCAAUCUCCUUCUCUUCUAUCACAUCAGUUAUAUCUCUUGCCACAAGCUCACAUAAUUUCUGUCGUGUGUCUUAGUAAUAUCUAAUUUGUUACGAUGUAUUAUGCAUGCAAAUGUAAUUGCAGAGGAGGAGUUAAGCAGAAUGACAGCUUAAAGAGGCAUAUUUUUUUUGACUCUGUCACUCCCAGAAAACAGCAUAAAGAGAUCUGGGACAACUAGAUGUCGUGAUGAAAACAUUAGAACGCCAGGAUAUCAAAUUAAACAAUAGAACUGUCCCACUGAACCCCCAUCAUCUCUCACAUGCAAUGAGAGCCAGUAACAUAGAAGAAAGCUAUAUGAAGUUGAGACAAUUAUUUGUCCUAAAAUCUGCCUUUAAUUUUAACACUGUGAAAAAUAAAAUGAAAAUUGUGACUUCAGCACAACACUUUUGGGUGAGAAAUGUAUAAUUCUCCUUUGUCACACUAUAUAAUUAGUUGUUUACAGACCACUAGGUUUGUGAAAAUUCAUAUUAGCAAAAAUAGUAACCUGCAAGCUAACUGAAUAAAUUCUAAUGGCACUAAUGACAGUCUUCAAAAUUAAGGGAUUUUACUUUGAUCCUAUACCCAAAGAAGAAAAGUACAAUGUUAUGGGAAGUAACUUACCCUUGUCUUACAAAUCAAGUAUUGUCCAACCCAACAUAUCCAUUAAAAGAUGACAAAGAAAAUUUGUUUCUUAAAAUAUGGUGCUAGAAAAAUAAUCUGGAAAUAAUUUGUUUCAACUGCUACCAGGAAAUCUAAAAUAUGGUCUCAAAUGGAAUUACUUUGCAUAUAAUAGAUUUCAGACAAUAAAUGUUAACCCCAGAAAUAAAUUCAUUUGACUCAGUGUUUACACAGUAAAAAGUGAAGUAGGACCUUCUCUAAAUAGCACUUGAGCUAGAGCUGGUAAACCUUGUAAACCAGUCCUUUCUCCUUUUCAGACACACCAUUAUAUGUGCUCAUUAUUUCUGGAGACCCAGAAAAGUUUGGAAGACACUCACAGAAAGGGAUUUAUAUGUGUGGAGGAAUCUCCUAUACCUCUCUAACCCAAAGAGACUGAAAUUAGGAAACAGGCCUAAUUGAGAACAAAUAUUAGCUACAUAGGCUUGGCCCACUAUCCUGAAAGUUUAUUUCUAUUCAGUCAUAAUUUAGAUACUUAGGGAAAUUCCAAGAGGAAAAAAAAAAAAAACAUGCUCUCUCAACAUAUAGCAGAAGAUGGCAAUGAGAACAGCAGCUUAGGAUGGAUGGGAAAGCAGAAACCCAGGCCCAGAACUGCGGCUUCUCAGAAUUCUGAGAAGCUGAGAUUAAGCCUGGAGACUUUGUUCCUUCCUCUGUUUCUUUCAUUCUUUAAAAAUGUGUUACUAAUUUAUAUUUUCAGACCAGAAGGCAACCUUAUUUUCUUUACCAGUCUUGAAUCCAGACUGGCACAGCACUGUUAUAUUUGGGAAAAUACAAAUGGCUGUGGAAUUCUUGGGGAAGAUGUAGACAAGCCUUGACGUUGUACAAUUCCUUUUCACUAUGCACAUCCCUGCUUAGCCUGGGCAGAGCCUCUGUACAUGAGGACGAACAUGAAUACAAGAUGAACACCAACUGAUGUACUGACCUACAGACAUCUCAACAUUACAGCCGCUGUUAUGUCUGUGAAAGAGUUCACGUGGGCUUCCACUUCUUUACUACAUGAACUCCCAAAUACCCACUUUCAACUAUUUAUUCUUAUCCUCAUUUAUAGAAUAAAGCUGACCCAAAACACCACCACUAAGGGAGAAUGACUUUGCAACUAGUGGCAAGAUUAAAUAAUGUUGGAACUUUGUAGCCCAAGUUAGCACUGAAGAAAAGAUAGUUCAGACAAUAAACGUAUCAGUGCCAUGUGACCCUUGUCAGCAUAUUAAGGAAGUAAUGCAAUAAUAAUAAAUUGCACUGGAUUGGGAUGGACUAUGGUCACAAAUGGAAAUUGUGCCUUCAGCCCAAUACUGUCGGGGGAAAAAUGUAUAAAUCUCCUUUAUCACACUGUAUAAUUAGUUAUUUCAGACCAAAUAAGUAGAAAAAUAAGUAGUCUCUUGAAUGAUUCGACAUCUGAAGUGUCAGACAUCGCUUUGUAUGACAAUAAAACUCUGCCAGCUA
Long non-coding RNA from Homo sapiens (human), 4247 nucleotides. NCBI's taxonomy places the organism in Eukaryota, Metazoa, Chordata, Mammalia, Primates, Hominidae. The record is from Ensembl.